This 492-nucleotide ribosomal RNA is filed under the name uncultured bacterium. RNAcentral's name for it is "partial 16S ribosomal RNA". It matches the Rfam family "Bacterial small subunit ribosomal RNA", at positions 29 to 507 of the family's 1533-position model. The record is from RNAcentral.
AGUGAACGCUGGCGGUAGGUCUAACACAUGCAAGUCGAACGGCAGCACAGUAAGAGCUUGCUCUUACGGGUGGCGAGUGGCGGACGGGUGAGGAAUACAUCGGAAUCUACUUUUUCGUGGGGGAUAACGUAGGGAAACUUACGCUAAUACCGCAUACGACCUACGGGUGAAAGCAGGGGAUCUUCGGACCUUGCGCGAUUGAAUGAGCCGAUGUCGGAUUAGCUAGUUGGCGGGGUAAAGGCCCACCAAGGCGACGAUCCGUAGCUGGUCUGAGAGGAUGAUCAGCCACACUGGAACUGAGACACGGUCCAGACUCCUACGGGAGGCAGCAGUGGGGAAUAUUGGACAAAGGGCGCAAGCCUGAUCCAGCCAUACCGCGUGGGUGAAGAAGGCCUUCGGGUUGUAAGGCCCUUUUGUUGGGAAAGAAAAGCAGCAGGUUAAUACCCCGCUGUUCUGACGGUACCCAAAGAAUAAGCACCGGCUAACUUCGUG